GACGAACGCUGGCGGCGUGCUUAACACAUGCAAGUCGAACGCUGAAGCUCAGCUUUUGUUGGGUGGAUGAGUGGCGAACGGGUGAGUAACACGUGAGUAACCUGCCUCCUUCUUUGGGAUAACGCCCGGAAACGGGUGCUAAUACUGGAUAUUCACUGGUCUUCGCAUGGGGGUUGGUGGAAAGGGUUUUUCUGGUGGGGGAUGGGCUCGCGGCCUAUCAGCUUGUUGGUGGGGUGAUGGCCUACCAAGGCUUUGACGGGUAGCCGGCCUGAGAGGGUGACCGGUCACAUUGGGACUGAGAUACGGCCCAGACUCCUACGGGGGGCAGCAGUGGGGAAGAUUGCACAAUGGGCGCAAGCCUGAUGCAGCGACGCCGCGUGAGGGAUGGAGGCCUUCGGGUUGUGAACCUCUUUCGCUCAUGGUCAAGCCGCAACAAUGGUUGUGGUGAGGGUAGUGGGUAAAGAAGCGCCGGCUAACUACGUG
Molecule: ribosomal RNA, 483 nt
Filed under: uncultured bacterium
Lineage: Bacteria
Description: partial 16S ribosomal RNA
Rfam family: Bacterial small subunit ribosomal RNA
Source: RNAcentral